AAAAACUGAAGCACUAAUCCCAAGAUGACUACUGAGAGGCAGAAUGUGGGUUCUCCAAUAAUUGGUGGUCAUGGAGUAGAUAUUGCAGAUUGUAAAGAUCCAUUCAGUGCCAUUUGGAUUCCUUGGAUGAUCUGAUGUCAGAUACUGACAUGGAAAAUGGGAUAUUACUACCUAUCAAAAAAUCGCAUGCAACAUCUUCAGUCCCUUUAUUAGCAGGCUGAAAGACAUCUGCAGAUGGUGACUAUAGCCAGGAAAUUAUAAGAAAUUCACAUCUUUGAAGAAAAGAUAUAGAAGAUCUGGAUAAGUCAAAGCUGUGGUUUUCCCAGUAAUAAAAUAUGUCUACAGAGAA
Molecule: long non-coding RNA, 349 nt
Organism: Protopterus annectens (West African lungfish)
Lineage: Eukaryota; Metazoa; Chordata; Ceratodontiformes; Protopteridae
Exons: 3
Source: RefSeq, a predicted model, not a curated record